AGAGUUUGAUCAUGGCUCAGGAUGAACGCUAGCUACAGGCUUAACACAUGCAAGUCGAGGGGAAACGACAUCGAAAGCUUGCUUUUGAUGGGCGUCGACCGGCGCACGGGUGAGUAACGCGUAUCCAACCUGCCCAUCACUUGGGGAUAACCUUGCGAAAGUAAGACUAAUACCCAAUGAUAUCUCUAGAAGACAUCUGAAAGAGAUUAAAGAUUUAUCGGUGAUGGAUGGGGAUGCGUCUGAUUAGCUUGUUGGCGGGGUAACGCCACAAGGCUACGAUCGAGUAGGGGUUCUGAGAGGAAGGUCCCCCANAUUGGAACUGAGACACGGUCCAAACUCCUACGGGAGCA
RNAcentral lists this ribosomal RNA (350 nucleotides) under uncultured bacterium. RNAcentral describes it as "bacterial SSU rRNA". It matches the Rfam family "Bacterial small subunit ribosomal RNA", at positions 8 to 349 of the family's 1533-position model. The record is from RNAcentral.